GCCUCCUGCGCAUCCCGCCGGGGUGCUCCCCUUCGGGGGGACCGCGAGAGCUCUGCCUCUUCCCUGCUCGGCGGCAGGAGGGAUUCAGCAGUAAAAUUCAGCCUGUGGCGCUACAUCGUGAAUUUCUGGGGUUUCUUAAAACCCUCCCAACAGAAAAGGUCCCGAAGGCCAGUCGUAUGAGCAUCCUGAGGAAGGGAAGCAAAGAGAGGGGCUGAUCCUUCAAACACACCAAUCUGGUGAGUACACAUCAAACUGAGCAGCUGGCAGCAAGGAGCUUGCAUGUUGUGACUGUAGUUCAUCCACAGGGAACUCUGCAUUUCAAAAGCACAAAUUGUUUUUAUCUUCCUGUGUGAACCCAGUGAGAUCUCAGUUUCUACACUGUGCUUCCUAAAUGGGACAGAAUUCUUCAGCACUUUGCCUGACUGUCAGUAUAAUCUUGGUUACUAGUGUCAUCCCUGUAGUACCAGGGACAUUUGUGGUACCAAUGAGAACAAGAAGGCGAUUUCUUUGAAUGAGGCCCUAACCCUGUAAACAUUUAAGCACAGAAGUAGCUUUAUUCUGAGGAGUCAUUCAACAGAUGCAGAACUUUUCAUCUGAUUCAAAUUGCUUAUAUGGUAUUGGUGAGACUAAUCUCCUAGGAAGAUCAAAUGAAAACUAGAGCCAAGUAUCAUUGAAAAUGGUUGAUGUUUGGGGAAGGUGAGAAUUGGAAAAGAUGUGAGAUGACUUUACCAAUACAUGAUGUAUGAUAUCAUAUGUACUUUGCUAAACUGAUUUUUCUGUUUUGAGCUCCAGUGGGGCUUUUGCAAGUGGAUCUUGACUGGAAGAUGCCAUGGGGAACCUCUGAGAGAAAAAUCAACCAGACCACAGAAUAAAGACAGUCACCUAAAAUCCAAGUGAAAGAUUCAUAUAAAUAAUGUGUAAAUAAAGCUGCUGUGAUGGCUAUGGGACAUAGAUAUCUGGUUACAAAAUCAAAACUCCAGUGGUUUAAGGGAUGGCAGCUUUCUCAUCCAGCCUUUAGGCUGUGAUCUCUACCCAGCCUUUGUGUCAUCCUUCAGACUUGUAGAGUAUCUAGCAUAAUUCAGGUUGCACCAGAGACUAGCUGUGCUGAACGACAGGGAUCUAGUGAGAGAAGCCAAGUAUGUUAAUGUAUUUCAGUGAAUACAGGGUGGGAUCUUCUCCGUCUCCAGAGACAGUGUGAAUGUUGGAAACUUCCUGAGAUCUAAAUCCAGUUUGCAACGGCUUCUAAAGAUACUCUACUCUCUGUCUCAGCAUUGUCACCCACCUCGAAUAAUAGGAGAACCAUUAAGACUUUUUAAAUCUGCCUUUCUUCAAAAAUGUGCCUCUGCCUUGGCCAGACAACAGCAAAGAAACGUGGGGUUAGAAGGAGCUGGAUGAAAGUUCAGCUGUCCUGCCACACUGAGCAGAUCUCAAUGCAGCAUGAGACCAGACCUGGGGAGUUGAGGAAGAACUGGUGGCUGACAGACAGAAUGCAUCACUCCGUGCUUCAUCAGAUUGACUCCCAGCUCACACAACAUCUCCCACAGCCCCUGGGAGAGCAGCUUCCCUUCUGAAAUCAGUGUGUUCCCAGUCCCAUGCUCAUCUUCCUCCUUCCCUGCAGCCUCUUUCUGCCGCAGCCGCACGCAGGGGAAGCUGCGUGUCCAUGAGCGGCCCCUGGGCACGGUCUGAGCAAUGGGAGGGGGCAGCGAGCCUUGCCCAGGCCAAACAGGGCCGGCGAGCCUUUGUUUGUGCCUCUGCUCCUCUGUUCGCCAACAGCUCAUUAAAAACAAGGCACAAAGAAGCAGCAGAGGAACCGGACAAGCCCCCUCCGGUCUCCUCCCCGACCUGUCACGACUCCCCCUGGCUGUGUCAGGGCUUCCCGGGCAGCCCUGCCGAGGAGUCCGACUGCAGGCCGGGGCAGCAGCAGCCCAGCGGCCCUUGGCUUAAUUCUUCAAAUAACAACCUGGAGAGAGAUAAGGGCUGGCCCUGGCAACACCGAUUAUGUGCUUUCCUGCUCCUGUGGCUCACCAAGUUUGCAAGGGGUCAGCAUCCCAGGCAGAAUCCAUCUGGAAUGCGGCAGCCAGCAGCCUCCCGGUCACACCUCUGUGCCGCAGCCACGGCUGCAAGCACCUCAGCAUCUAAUGCAGGAGUGGAUGCUCUGUCUUCAUGGCAGACUGCACCACUGCAGCAGCCUGCAGCCCUGGCCCCAGUGUGGCUCUCAUCAGGCAUGCAUCCCAGCACACUGAUAAACUUUGAGGAGGCAGACGUGGAAGUAUAUGCAAGAUGCCGCUACAAGAAAAUGAGAUGGCGUUCAUGUAAAUGGCAUGCAAGGCUCAAAGUUGAAAGUCUCUGAAAAAAGUCUCAAAGCCUAGGUUGAAAAAAACUGCUGGAGAAGAACAAAAUCCUUUUUUCUGUUAAUUGCCUGGUGCAGCAUGUUUUCACUGCAUCCCCUCCUGUGAAGAGAUUUGCAUUCACAAAAAUAUCCUCACCUCCAUGCUGCAGGAAUGGAAAGCAGCAUCCUUAGGCACUUUGUAAAAAUGGCUGUGUUUUUUAUGUGAAUUCCCUUAAUAUUCACUGAAGGAAAACAAGGGAUCAAAACAAGUAUCACACUACUUACAGAGAAGGUCCUGGAGCAAAGACCUGGAUUCUGGACCAUGUGCCUGCAAAUAUGGAAGGAGCUUGUUUGCUGUUUGAUGAACAGCAUCAUCAGGAAACCUGAAAUGGCCACCUGUUAUGGAAUGGUGUCUGAGGCUUUCUAGUGACCCAAAGCCAGGCUUCCUACAGCUGAAUUUCCGUGGUAGUAGAAGUCUAACUUUGGGAAAGAGUCUGCCACAGAUAAAUGUUUUUGUUUUUCAUGAAAUAAAGAAAAAUUAUGAAUGUAUCUGACAGGGAGCCAGACAAUCCAGCCAACAUAUUCUUACAAGUCACCAUUGCAUUAGGGGUAGAAGAAAUGCACCCCAGCUCCUGGGGUGUUUAUGUGUCCCAUACAAAAGGAAAAAUCUGAAGGGCUUUGUGUUGUUUGUAGCACUUUUCUGCUAUGGAAGUGCCUCAGUGUCUGCUAGGAGUUUUGUCAUGUUGCAGCCUUUCAUUGGUGUCACUCUAAUCAGAUGUCUCUCCUACACCUUACCACUCCUUAAAUGAAAUAAAUAUGUACCUAAUAUCUUAGAGACAUUUAACCACUGUCAUGUUUGCUUGACACUUGGCAGAAGAGUUAAAAGAAUUAUGAAUUGAGUAGAUAGAAAAAGUAAACAGACAGACAAAAAAUGUGAUUAGUAAGUCCUAUUUCCCCAAAGAGCCAGCCUAAAAUUUACUGGUCACAACAACUGGAAAAAACUGCCAGCACUUCAUAGGACAGCAUUAAGAGUUUAAACUGGAGGAAACUCAAAGGAGAGCAAAAAGCUGUCAGGAAUUGCAGAAACUCAGCCACAAGGAAAGGCUGACAGAUCUUUCAAUCUUGAGACUGUUCAAUCUUGAAGAAGAGGAGACCAGACAGAAAGGCAUGAUAACAACCUUCCAGUGGGGACAGGCUGGAGGUCCCUGAUCAAUUAUCCUUAUAGUCACCAAAGGUAAAAGAGGAAAUAAUCAGUCUAAUUUUCUGGACAGGAGAUUUAUCUCAGGCAAUGGGGUACAUUUUCUGAUUUUCAGGGCAGUUAAGCACUGAAUAAGAUUGUCUGGAGAGUCUGGGACUGACGUCAAUUGACGUAUUUCAGAUCAGAUCUCUCAGAUCUUUGUAAGGGAUGAAAUUUAAUUCUAAUUUACAAUAGAAGUUGGUAUUAUAGAGUCUUCUCAGUUUUAUUCAAGUCACGUGUAUUCAUAAUUAACAGGCAUGCAAUUUGUGAUUUCCCAUUCUUUAAUAAAACAGCCCAAAUUAUGUACUUCUUUAUUGGGUCAGGUGUAAUAUUUAAUCCUGCCUACAACAACAUUUCAGCAUUCCUUUUCAGAUGGAAGAGCUAAUCUGAUCAGUUUGAGUUGAUACCUCUUCUAUACCUUUUUCUUGGAAGGUAUCUUGAAGUGACUGGAUUUCCUGUAAUUUUUUGUGUGUUCACACACAAAAACACAACUGAAAAAAAUCCAAAACUACCCAACCUCCAAACCAUUAAUCACAUUGCUCUUCUUCCAGGUCAGAGCUCCUGGGAGGUGCCUGAGGGCAAAAAUUGGUGAGGACUUCUGAAAUGUGUCAACAGUUGCCAAAGUUCAAGCAGAGUUUUAUAGUGAUGGCUCAAAAUUACAUCAAACGACUUUCCCAAAUCAGAGCCAAUGGCACAGAACAUCUCUUGUGCCGUUGGCUUGGAUGAUGUGACAUCCCUUUCCCAACUAAUGCUUGCUAGUAGACUUAAACUGCAUUUAGGAAAGCCUCCAAAUUAGUUCCCUCCAGGUGAUUAUCUUUUUUCCCAAAUAUUUUCACAGCCAGGAUAAGUAAAUAGUAACUGUAUUAUGGGACAUAAUGUAAGGACUGUGGAACACAAAGAACUUUGAGAUCCACAAAAGUCACAGCAAGGGCUCCUACAGAUAUACGAGGCAUCUCCAUCACUCUGCCAUUCUUCUGAAGACUUUUUGUAGCACACCUGGAUCUAACAGUCCCUCUGAAGAACAAUUUUUAUCUCAACAGUGAGGAACCCUUGUUUUUGCAGUCAAAAUUUACUUGCACAGCAGAUAUCUUAAAUGUGAUUAAACCCGUUAAAGUUGUAAUACAGGAGUAGAUUUUUAACACCUGUGUCUCAAAAGCUGUUUCUUACAAAGUGUAGAAGUUCAUCACAGCUAAUUGUGUCUUUUCAUGUUAGUAUUUUUCUUUGUUUUACUUCAUUCCCAUUUUCAUGGGAUAAUGGCCAUCAUUUGUUCCAAAGAAAAGAACUGUUCCACUAAGGGCAAGUUCACCUUCAGGUUUCCCUUCCAGGACACGAAUCAGUCAGGUUUGAAAAGGUACAGGGAAAAUAGCAGUUUCUUUGCUGAUCAGAGUACUCUCUUUACAGGGGUACAAAUUAUGUUUCAACAGUCUGGGGAAGCAGACUACCUCAAUUCUCACAAUCACAUUCUUUACCCCAAAGCCAGAAACCCUAACCCAAAGCUCUUUUUUCUAUGUAUUUUACCUUUGUGAACAAGUU
Molecule: non-coding RNA, 5099 nt
Organism: Cyanistes caeruleus (blue tit)
Lineage: Eukaryota; Metazoa; Chordata; Aves; Passeriformes; Paridae
Source: RefSeq, a predicted model, not a curated record